This 75-nucleotide transfer RNA is filed under the name Verrucomicrobia subdivision 6 bacterium BACL9 MAG-120507-bin52. RNAcentral's name for it is "tRNA-Gln". It matches the Rfam family "tRNA". Rfam says of the family: Transfer RNA (tRNA) molecules are approximately 80 nucleotides in length. Their secondary structure includes four short double-helical elements and three loops (D, anti-codon, and T loops). The record is from RNAcentral. Lineage: Bacteria; Pseudomonadati; Verrucomicrobiota; Verrucomicrobiia; Verrucomicrobiales; Verrucomicrobia subdivision 6. RNAcentral also lists the same sequence under 2 other names.
UGCCGGCUGGUGCAAUGGUAGCACACCAGACUUUGGAUCUGGCUGUUCCUGGUUCGAGUCCAGGGCCGGCAGCUA